UGAUUUUGAAACAUUUUAAAC
Molecule: non-coding RNA, 21 nt
Organism: Caenorhabditis elegans
Lineage: Eukaryota; Metazoa; Nematoda; Chromadorea; Rhabditida; Rhabditidae
Source: Ensembl